Long non-coding RNA from Neogale vison (American mink), 580 nucleotides. RefSeq lists it as uncharacterized. The record is from RefSeq and is a predicted model, not a curated record. Lineage: Eukaryota; Metazoa; Chordata; Mammalia; Carnivora; Mustelidae. The transcript has 3 exons.
CUUGCACUUCUAGGCCUCCAGAACUAUGAGAGAAUAAAAUUUCUCUUAUUUAAGUCACCCAGUCUUUGGCAUUUUGUUAAAGCAGUACAAGCUGACUAAUAUAGUCAGGAUCAUCGAUUUACCUGAGGGUCAGGCAGAAGGAUGAAAUCAGAGAGGACCAUAGAUUAUCUUCUAAGAUUAGAAUUAAAAAUCAGGACAUACAACACUCCUGGCCAUUUUUUGGUCUAUCAAUAGUUUACUAACAACCAGCCUUCAAGAAGCAGUCUAGAGAAGGAGUCCAAGACAUCAACAGGCCCACACAAUCCCAUGUGAGUUUCAAGAAAGAAAGAGAGAGUGAGCGAGCAUGCUUGUGCAAGUGCACACACCUCGGGGGAGGGGCACAAGAAGAAGCCAUCUUCCAUCUGAGCUGAGUAGGGAACCUGAUGCGGGGCUCAAUCCCAGGACCCUGGGAUCAUGGCCUGAGCCAAGGCAGAGAUUUAACUGACUGGACCACCCAGAUACCCUGUUUGUGACUUGGGAAAAGAGGGUUUCCCACUUGUUUCCCAGAGACACAUGGCUGUUGCAACGACUCCUACCUUCA